Molecule: ribosomal RNA, 433 nt
Filed under: uncultured bacterium
Lineage: Bacteria
Description: partial 16S ribosomal RNA
Rfam family: Bacterial small subunit ribosomal RNA
Source: RNAcentral
AGCGAACGCUGGCGGCAGGCUUAACACAUGCAAGUCGAGCGGGCCCUUCGGGGUCAGCGGCAGACGGGUGAGUAACACGUGGGAACGUACCCUUUGGUUCGGAAUAACGCUGGGAAACUAGCGCUAAUACCGGAUACGCCCUUUUGGGGAAAGGCUUGCUGCCGAAGGAUCGGCCCGCGUCUGAUUAGCUAGUUGGUGGGGUAAUGGCCUACCAAGGCGACGAUCAGUAGCUGGUCUGAGAGGAUGAUCAGCCACACUGGGACUGAGGCACGGCCCAGACUCCUACGGGAGGCAGCAGUGGGGAAUAUUGGACAAUGGGCGCAAGCCUGAUCCAGCCAUGCCGCGUGAGUGAUGAAGGCCUUAGGGUUGUAAAGCUCUUUUGUCCGGGACGAUAAUGACGGUACCGGAAGAAUAAGCCCCGGCUAACUUCGUG